RNAcentral lists this ribosomal RNA (301 nucleotides) under uncultured bacterium. RNAcentral describes it as "partial 16S ribosomal RNA". It matches the Rfam family "Bacterial small subunit ribosomal RNA", at positions 509 to 807 of the family's 1533-position model. The record is from RNAcentral.
CAGCAGCCACGGUAAUACGAAGGGGGCUAGCGUUGUUCGGAUUUACUGGGCGUAAAGCGCACGUAGGCGGACUUUUAAGUCAGGGGUGAAAUCCCGGGGCUCAACCCCGGAACUGCCUUUGAUACUGGAAGUCUUGAGUAUGGUAGAGGUGAGUGGAAUUCCGAGUGUAGAGGUGAAAUUCGUAGAUAUUCGGAGGAACACCAGUGGCGAAGGCGGCUCACUGGACCAUUACUGACGCUGAGGUGCGAAAGCGUGGGGAGCAAACAGGAUUAGAGACCCGCGUAGUCCCUGUCUCUUAUAC